Molecule: ribosomal RNA, 415 nt
Filed under: uncultured microorganism
Description: bacterial SSU rRNA
Rfam family: Bacterial small subunit ribosomal RNA
Source: RNAcentral
GAGUUUGAUCUUGGCUCAGAUUGAACGCUGGCGGCAUGCCUUACACAUGCAAGUCGAACGGUAACAGGUCUUCGGAUGCUGACGAGUGGCGAACGGGUGAGUAAUACAUCGGAACGUGCCCGAUCGUGGGGGGAUAACGAAGCGAAAGCUUUGCUAAUACCGCAUAAGAUCUACGGAUGAAAGCAGGGGACCGCAAGGCCUUGCGCGAACGGAGCGGCCGAUGGCAGAUUAGGUAGUUGGUGGGAUAAAAGCUUACCAAGCCGACGAUCUGUAGCUGGUCUGAGAGGACGACCAGCCACACUGGGACUGAGACACGGCCCAGACUCCUACGGGAGGCAGCAGUGGGGAAUUUUGGACAAUGGGCGAAAGCCUGAUCCAGCCAUGCCGCGUGCAGGAUGAAGGCCUCGGUUGUAAC